AGGAGUUUGAUCCUGGCUCAGAACGAACGUUGGCGGCGUGGAUUAGGCAUGCAAGUCGAACGAAUCUCACCGGUGUAGCAAUACAUUGGUGGGGGAAGUGGCGAAAGGGGCAGUAAGGCGUGGGUAACCUACCCUGGGGAUGGGCAUAGCCGUUCUAACGAGCGGGUAAUUCCCAGCGAUCCGGCGAAGGGGCAUCUUUUUGCCGGGAAAAGAAUUUCGCCUCGGGAGGGACUCACGUGCUAUUAGCUGGUUGGUGAGGUAACGGCUCACCAAGGCAAAGAUGGCUAGCGGUGUGAGAGCACGACCCGCGCCACUGGCACUGAGACACUGGCCAGACACCUACGGGUGGCUGCAGUCGAGGAUCUUCGUCAAUGGGCGCAAGCCUGAACGAGCGACGCCGCGUGUGCGAUGAAGGCCUUCGGGUUGUAAAGCACUGUCGAGGGGGAUCAAGGUCCGCAAGGGCUUGAUUGAUCCCUGGAGGAAGCACGGGCUAAGUUCGUGCCAGCAGC
This 509-nucleotide ribosomal RNA is filed under the name uncultured Planctomycetota bacterium. RNAcentral describes it as "bacterial SSU rRNA". It matches the Rfam family "Bacterial small subunit ribosomal RNA", at positions 1 to 515 of the family's 1533-position model. Lineage: Bacteria; Pseudomonadati; Planctomycetota. The record is from RNAcentral.